Molecule: ribosomal RNA, 1491 nt
Filed under: Lactiplantibacillus plantarum
Lineage: Bacteria; Bacillati; Bacillota; Bacilli; Lactobacillales; Lactobacillaceae
Description: bacterial SSU rRNA
Rfam family: Bacterial small subunit ribosomal RNA
Source: RNAcentral
UCAGGACGAACGCUGGCGGCGUGCCUAAUACAUGCAAGUCGAACGAACUCUGGUAUUGAUUGGUGCUUGCAUCAUGAUUUACAUUUGAGUGAGUGGCGAACUGGUGAGUAACACGUGGGAAACCUGCCCAGAAGCGGGGGAUAACACCUGGAAACAGAUGCUAAUACCGCAUAACAACUUGGACCGCAUGGUCCGAGUUUGAAAGAUGGCUUCGGCUAUCACUUUUGGAUGGUCCCGCGGCGUAUUAGCUAGAUGGUGGGGUAACGGCUCACCAUGGCAAUGAUACGUAGCCGACCUGAGAGGGUAAUCGGCCACAUUGGGACUGAGACACGGCCCAAACUCCUACGGGAGGCAGCAGUAGGGAAUCUUCCACAAUGGACGAAAGUCUGAUGGAGCAACGCCGCGUGAGUGAAGAAGGGUUUCGGCUCGUAAAACUCUGUUGUUAAAGAAGAACAUAUCUGAGAGUAACUGUUCAGGUAUUGACGGUAUUUAACCAGAAAGCCACGGCUAACUACGUGCCAGCAGCCGCGGUAAUACGUAGGUGGCAAGCGUUGUCCGGAUUUAUUGGGCGUAAAGCGAGCGCAGGCGGUUUUUUAAGUCUGAUGUGAAAGCCUUCGGCUCAACCGAAGAAGUGCAUCGGAAACUGGGAAACUUGAGUGCAGAAGAGGACAGUGGAACUCCAUGUGUAGCGGUGAAAUGCGUAGAUAUAUGGAAGAACACCAGUGGCGAAGGCGGCUGUCUGGUCUGUAACUGACGCUGAGGCUCGAAAGUAUGGGUAGCAAACAGGAUUAGAUACCCUGGUAGUCCAUACCGUAAACGAUGAAUGCUAAGUGUUGGAGGGUUUCCGCCCUUCAGUGCUGCAGCUAACGCAUUAAGCAUUCCGCCUGGGGAGUACGGCCGCAAGGCUGAAACUCAAAGGAAUUGACGGGGGCCCGCACAAGCGGUGGAGCAUGUGGUUUAAUUCGAAGCUACGCGAAGAACCUUACCAGGUCUUGACAUACUAUGCAAAUCUAAGAGAUUAGACGUUCCCUUCGGGGACAUGGAUACAGGUGGUGCAUGGUUGUCGUCAGCUCGUGUCGUGAGAUGUUGGGUUAAGUCCCGCAACGAGCGCAACCCUUAUUAUCAGUUGCCAGCAUUAAGUUGGGCACUCUGGUGAGACUGCCGGUGACAAACCGGAGGAAGGUGGGGAUGACGUCAAAUCAUCAUGCCCCUUAUGACCUGGGCUACACACGUGCUACAAUGGAUGGUACAACGAGUUGCGAACUCGCGAGAGUAAGCUAAUCUCUUAAAGCCAUUCUCAGUUCGGAUUGUAGGCUGCAACUCGCCUACAUGAAGUCGGAAUCGCUAGUAAUCGCGGAUCAGCAUGCCGCGGUGAAUACGUUCCCGGGCCUUGUACACACCGCCCGUCACACCAUGAGAGUUUGUAACACCCAAAGUCGGUGGGGUAACCUUUUAGGACCAGCCGCCUAAGUGGGACAGAUGAUUAGGUGA